GUAAGGAAUAUUGGACAAUGGACGCAAGUCUGAUCCAGCCAUGCCGCGUGAAGGAUUAAUGUCCUCUGGAUUGUAAACUUCUUUUAUAAGGGACGAAAAAAGGCUUUUCUAAGUCGUCUGACGGUACCUUAUGAAUAAGCACCGGCUAACUCCGUGCCAGCAGCCGCGGUAAUACGGAGGGUGCAAGCGUUAUCCGGAUUCACUGGGUUUAAAGGGUGCGUAGGCGGGCAGGUAAGUCAGUGGUGAAAUCCUAGAGCUUAACUCUAGAACUGCCAUUGAUACUGUCUGUCUUGAAUAUUGUGGAGGUAAGCGGAAUAUGUCAUGUAGCGGUGAAAUGCUUAGAUAUGACAUAGAACACCUAUUGCGAAGGCAGCUUACUACGCAUAUAUUGACGCUGAGGCACGAAAGCGUGGGGAUCAAACAGGAUUAGAAACCCCGGUAGUCC
RNAcentral lists this ribosomal RNA (445 nucleotides) under uncultured bacterium. RNAcentral's name for it is "partial 16S ribosomal RNA". It matches the Rfam family "Bacterial small subunit ribosomal RNA", at positions 354 to 796 of the family's 1533-position model. The record is from RNAcentral.